RNAcentral lists this ribosomal RNA (252 nucleotides) under Actinomycetes bacterium. RNAcentral describes it as "Actinobacteria bacterium (activated sludge metagenome) partial 16S ribosomal RNA". It matches the Rfam family "Bacterial small subunit ribosomal RNA", at positions 1 to 267 of the family's 1533-position model. Lineage: Bacteria; Bacillati; Actinomycetota; Actinomycetes. The record is from RNAcentral.
GAAUCUGAGAGUUUGAUCCUGGCUCAGGACGAACGCUGGCGGCGCGCUUAACACAUGCAAGUCGAACGGGACCUUCGGGUCCAGUGGCGCACGGGUGAGUAACGCGUGGGAACCUGCCCUGAGGUACGGGACAACAGAGGGAAACUUCUGCUAAUACCGUAUGAGCCCAUUUCUUUAGCGAGUGAUGGGGAAAGAUUUAUCGCCUUGGGAGGGGCCCGCGUUGGAUUAGCUGGUUGGUGGGGAAAGAGUGUA